RNAcentral lists this ribosomal RNA (500 nucleotides) under uncultured bacterium. RNAcentral describes it as "partial 16S ribosomal RNA". It matches the Rfam family "Bacterial small subunit ribosomal RNA", at positions 30 to 523 of the family's 1533-position model. The record is from RNAcentral.
AUUGAACGCUGGCGGCAGGCUUAACACACGCAAGUCGAGCGGGGGAAGGUAGCUUGCCACCGGACCUAGCGGCGGACGGGUGAGUAAUGCUUAGGAAUCUGCCUAUUAGUGGGGGACAACAUCUCGAAAGGGAUGAUAAUACCGCAUACGUCCUACGGGAGAAGGCAGGGGAUCUUCGGACCUCGCGCUAAUAGAUGAGCCUAAGUCGGAUUAGCUAGUUGGUGGGGUAAAGGCCUACCAAGGCGACGAUCUGUAGCGGUCUGAGAGGAUGAUCCGCCACACUGGGACUGAGACACGGCCCAGACUCCUACGGGAGGCAGCAGUGGGGAAUAUUGGACAAUGGGGGGAACCCUGAUCCAGCCAUGCCGCGUGUGUGAAGAAGGCCUUAUGGUUGUAAAGCACUUUAAGCGAGGAGGAGGCUACUUUAGUUAAUACCUAGAGAUAGUGGACGUUACUCGCAGAAUAAGCACCGGCUAACUCUGUGCCAGCCGCCGCAGUAA